RNAcentral lists this long non-coding RNA (3862 nucleotides) under Cicer arietinum (chickpea). Its description in RNAcentral is "long non-coding RNA (CARI_LNC000978)". Lineage: Eukaryota; Viridiplantae; Streptophyta; Magnoliopsida; Fabales; Fabaceae. The record is from RNAcentral.
ACACUUUCUUCCUUCUAGUCACCAAGGCUAAUACUCUCAUUCUCAAUUCACUACUAAGAAAAAAAAAUGGGAGGAAACAAUCAAAGGAAGUCAAAGUCAUCAUUCAAGUCUGUUUUCAACAUUUUCAAAUCUAGCAACAAACAAAGAAGUGCCUAUUAUGAUGAUGAUUGUGCUAAGCAAUGGAACAAAGUUUGGCCUAGUGAUGAAGACAGAGGUAGUUGGGGUGUUGCUGAUCCUACCAUUGACAUGAGAGCUACUGCUUUCAUUGCUCAAUACAAGAAGCGAAUUACUGAAUCUGAAAUUCACUGGCAAGCUCAACCUGAUCAGUAGUAGGAGCUAGCUAGCUUCUAUGUUUCUCCAUUUUUAAUUUGUUUGUACCUCUCUGUUGUAAAUGUAAUUAGUUAUUGAUUAUCAUUUGUGAACCAUGAUAAUAAGUAUUGUUAAAUAUAAAUAACUCUUUUCUAUUUCCAAGUUUGUGUUUGGCUUUGUUGUUGGGGUGGAGCAUAUUGUUCAGUCUAUUCUCUAUUGCAUAUAGUCAUUCAAUGUAGAGAACAUAUUGCAGAGUUUUCAGAUAAAAUGUUUCUUUAGUAACUUAAUUAUUUUGGCCAAAGAACUUGAAUAAGGAGAAUCAAUGGGUUAAGGGGCUUAACCGUUUCAAUCACUAUGCAUAACAUUACAGCUGAGUUUGAUUUGCGAAAUACACAUAUUAUGGUUGCAGUCAAGUCUGAAGUCUUGUGAUCUAUACCCGCUUUCCUUAUGUGUGAGUCUCACACAUAUACUUAUCCUGUCAACCAACAGAAUUUGCCUUAUGACUACUAGGAAGACUUUCUAUGCAAAAAUUCUAAAAUUAAGAUCCACUCUCGCUUCCCAACCAAACCGAAUUAGGCUCCGAUGCUACUUGUUGGAGAAUUCAGACAACAACGAACCAAAUGUUUUAAGACCAAAAGAGACUUUACAUCUCCACUCAACCUAAAAAUAUUGGACAUACAUAUCACCUCUCUUAUACCUUCAACAUUUAAUUCAUCAAUAGUCAAUGCAAAACUAACCAUCCACACUCGAAUCCAAUACAUCUUUGUAAUGUGUAUUCUAGUCAUUAUGUUAGUCAUUAUGUUGUGAAUUAUUUUAUGUUUGCCUCAAAUAUUAAUUUUCAUGACUUGUUAUAAAAAUAUUAUUUUUUUGUUCUGCAAAUCUCAAAUCUCCAUUAAAAUUCUUAACUCUUUAAAAUUUAAACGAUUUAUACGAAGAUAUUGAAGCUUGCAAUGUGAUUUGUUUUUAAAUUUCAAAAAUGUGUUUUUGAACUUGAAAUUUAGCCAAGAGAUCAACUACAAUCUCAAACAAUAAUUCCUUUUUGUUUCAAACAAUUACAUCAAGGAAGUAAUUUUAUUCAUCAGUUGUGAAUUUUUUAACUAAUCUAAGAAAACGUUAAAUCAAACGGUGAAAAUUGUUUAAGAACUACAAACUAAAGUAAGCAUAAUUUAAAAUAAAGAUAAACUGCAAGUAAAAAUAAAAUUUGAUUUAUGUGUGUCUAAAACGAAAACUACAAUGAGUAUUUAUAAACUAAUAGCAAAGUUUAAAUCUUGUCGGUCAUAAUUGUGACCAACUAAAGAUUGUGUUUUAACUCUUAUAUUUGGUUAAACUCGGGUGGAUGUUUGAGAUUGUGGAUUGCAUAGUACUCCACUUUUUGUGACCGUUUGUUUCUCACAUGCGCUUUUGUCUCUUUCCUCAUCGUGGUUGCUAAGAAAUAGUGGUCUCAUACUUAUUUUUUUUCUCUCGCCUGGUUCAAUAAAAAAUAAUAGAAAAAACUAUUCAUACGGUUCUUGAUCUAUAUUUGACAUGGGAAAAAUAAAUAUGACUAGAUAUGAUUGAGCAAGACUCAACUCCAUCAUACUCGACUAGAUCUCAAUUCAUCAUUGUUGGACUCGACUACUCAUAAUUCACAUUACCUUAAACUCAUUCUUAUGUUAAAUUACUUGUUUACUAAAUAACUUAGUGUUCCGAGGAGUCCAUGAGUGCGCUAGGAACAAGAGGCUUUGAAAUUCACGUUUCAACACAAAGCCUUAACAUAUUAAGUAUAAAAGUUGUCCCUCUUAAUUAUCUAAUAUUUAAUUCAUUCAUAAUCGAUGUAAAACUAAACUACUCACGUUUAAACUCAAAAAAGUAGGUUGGGUGGGCUAAGGCGCUCCAUUGAUUUCAUGACUAUCUUUAUAUAACCUGUUUUGAAGCAAGGUUCUAGCUUUUGAAACUUUCUCAUUCUCAAAGUAACACCAAUGAUUUGAUUCUUCAAAUAAUUUCCUUUGAUAUAUCAAUAUAUGUUGACACGACACCUGGUUACAUCUCCUGCACUUGAGUGACUUAAAAUUCCUGAUGAAUUGUAAGGCAGCAACAUAUUAAUUAACAAUUACUACUAAUUAUUUAUAUACUAUUCCAACUGAAUGACAGUUCUUGGAAUCCUGCCGAGUACAGACAUCCAUGAAAUGGGCUUGUGGUUUCUUUAAGGUACAACACGUAUGUUUUGCAUGUUUUCUUGUUAACCUGUUUUUAUUGAGUUUCAAUACCAUAUUUCUUACUCUCUGUUUGUCUAAAUUACAUAAAUAUAUGGUUAGUUAAAAAACUCAAAAAGUAAAUAAAGGUAUUGUGAUAAAAAAAAUAUUCGUGGGUUCUAGAAUUUGAAUCGAACUCUACACAAUCCCCGUAAAAUCGGUUUGUAGACCGAGAACUACUCACCACUUAUAAACAUUCACAUAUAUCACUAGACAUUUAGACAUGAUCUGAAUGACUGAUAGUAGUAACUUAGGUGACCGAUUGCGGUGAACUGAUAGUAAAUGAACCAAUAAAUUUAUAUUUUUUAAUUCUAGUUGAAAUAAAAUAAAUUUAACUAUUCAAAUAAAUUCCAAUAAAUAGAAAUUUCAUCAAAUAAAAAUUAAAAAGAACAAAAUGGGACCAUGCAGUUGCUUUUUGCAAGAAGAAGCUCCCUAAGAAAAGGGGGAUUUGUACUAUAUAAAUUGAGACCCCCCAGCCUUCAAGUUAUAGCACAACACACUUCCUUUCUUUCAAUUACAUUCUAGUCACUAAGGCUAAUAUUCUCACUCUCUACUCAUCACUACUUGUGUUUUUCAAUAACCAAGAGAUAAGAAAUGGGAGGAAACAAUCAAAGGAAGUCAAAAUCAUCAUCAUUCAAGUCUAUUUUCAACAUUUUCAAAUCUAGCAACAAGCAAAGAGGUGCUUAUUAUGAUGAUGAUGAUGGGGCAAAGCCAUGGAACAAAGUGUGGCCUAGUGAUGAAGACAGAGGUAGUUGGGGUGUUGCUGAUCCUAUUAUUGACAUGAGAGCUACUGCUUUCAUUGCUCAAUACAAGAAACGAAUUACUGAAUCUGAAAUUCACUGGCAAGCUCAACCUGACCAGUAGUAGGAACUGCCUAGCUUCUAUGUUUGUCCAUUUUUAAUUUGUUUUUACCUCUCUGUUAAAAAUGUAAUUAGUUAUUGAUUAUCAUUUGUGAAUCAUGAUAAUAUGUAUUGUUAAAUAUAAAUAACUCUUUCAUGUUUCAUCUUCUCUAGUUCCAAGUUUGUGUUUCUCUUUGUUGUUGAGGUGGAACAUAUUGUCUAGUCUAGUGCAUAUAGUUCAAUGUAGAUAACAGUGCAAAGUACUCAGCUAAAAUGUUUCUUCAGUAAGUUACUAUUGUGAUAAAAAUAGAUUUUGAUCGAUUAAUGUAUCUAAAAUGAUAUAUACAAUAAAUACAUAUAAAUUGGAAGCUAAGCCUCAAUCCUUUCAAGUGAUCAACUAAAGAUUGCGUCUUAACUUUCGUUUUCAGCUAAACUUGCGUGAUUGUGUUUGAGAUCAUGGCUUGUCUAGUACUUCAUGUUUUG